Molecule: ribosomal RNA, 702 nt
Filed under: uncultured Paracoccus sp.
Lineage: Bacteria; Pseudomonadati; Pseudomonadota; Alphaproteobacteria; Rhodobacterales; Paracoccaceae
Description: bacterial SSU rRNA
Rfam family: Bacterial small subunit ribosomal RNA
Source: RNAcentral
AACGAACGCUGGCGGCAGGCCUAACACAUGCAAGUCGAGCGAGAUCUUCGGGUCUAGCGGCGAACGGGUGAGUAACGCGUGGGAAUAUGCCUCUUGGUACGGAAUAGCCUCGGGAAACUGGGAGUAAUACCGUAUGUGCCCUUUGGGGGAAAGAUUUAUCGCCAAGAGAUUAGCCCGCGUUGGAUUAGGUAGUUGGUGGGGUAAUGGCCUACCAAGCCGACGAUCCAUAGCUGGUUUGAGAGGAUGAUCAGCCACACUGGGACUGAGACACGGCCCAGACUCCUACGGGAGGCAGCAGUGGGGAAUCUUAGACAAUGGGGGCAACCCUGAUCUAGCCAUGCCGCGUGAGUGAUGAAGGCCUUAGGGUUGUAAAGCUCUUUCAGCUGGGAAGAUAAUGACGGUACCAGCAGAAGAAGCCCCGGCUAACUCCGUGCCAGCAGCCGCGGUAAUACGGAGGGGGCUAGCGUUGUUCGGAAUUACUGGGCGUAAAGCGCACGUAGGCGGACCAGAAAGUUGGGGGUGAAAUCCCGGGGCUCAACCCCGGAACUGCCUUCAAAACUAUUGGUCUGGAGUUCGAGAGAGGUGAGUGGAAUUCCGAGUGUAGAGGUGAAAUUCGUAGAUAUUCGGAAGAACACCAGUGGCGAAGGCGACUGACUGGACAGAUAUUGACGCUGAGGUGCGAAAGCGUGGGGAGCAAACAGG